Molecule: ribosomal RNA, 465 nt
Filed under: uncultured Klebsiella sp.
Lineage: Bacteria; Pseudomonadati; Pseudomonadota; Gammaproteobacteria; Enterobacterales; Enterobacteriaceae
Description: bacterial SSU rRNA
Rfam family: Bacterial small subunit ribosomal RNA
Source: RNAcentral
CCUACGGGCGGCUGCAGUGGGGAAUAUUGCACAAUGGGCGCAAGCCUGAUGCAGCCAUGCCGCGUGUGUGAAGAAGGCCUUCGGGUUGUAAAGCACUUUCAGCGGGGAGGAAGGCGGUGAGGUUAAUAACCUCAUCGAUUGACGUUACCCGCAGAAGAAGCACCGGCUAACUCCGUGCCAGCAGCCGCGGUAAUACGGAGGGUGCAAGCGUUAAUCGGAAUUACUGGGCGUAAAACGCACGCGGGCGGUCUGUCAAGUCGGAUGUGAAAUCCCCGGGCUCAACCUGGGAACUGCAUUCGAAACUGGCAGGCUAGAGUCUUGUAGAGGGGGGUAGAAUUCCAGGUGUAGCGGUGAAAUGCGUAGAGAUCUGGAGGAAUACCGGUGGCGAAGGCGGCCCCCUGGACAAAGACUGACGCUCAGGUGCGAAAGCGUGGGGAGCAAACAGGAUUAGAUACCCUAGUAGUC